GAGGGCAAAUGAUGAAUAAAAUUCUUAUCCUACACACUGAACUAAAUGUAGACUACAACUCCGCUUAUUAUCUGAUGCCUUC
Small nucleolar RNA from Alnus glutinosa, 82 nucleotides. RefSeq annotates it as small nucleolar RNA R16. Lineage: Eukaryota; Viridiplantae; Streptophyta; Magnoliopsida; Fagales; Betulaceae. The record is from RefSeq and is a predicted model, not a curated record. The transcript has a single exon.